GGGUCAGUAGGUUGGUCGUGCCACCGGUACGUACUGGUCUCACUGAUUCCUCCUUCCUGAAGAACCGUAAUGCCAUUAAUUUGGUGUUGCGGGGAAACAGGACCGUUACUUUGAAAAAAUUAGAGUGUUUAAAGCAAGCUAACGCCUGAAUACAUUAGCAUGGAAUAAUGAAAUAGGACGAUCGAUCCUAUUUUGUUGGUUUCUAGGAUUGACGUA
Molecule: ribosomal RNA, 216 nt
Filed under: Glomeromycotina sp.
Lineage: Eukaryota; Fungi; Glomeromycota
Description: partial small subunit ribosomal RNA
Rfam family: Eukaryotic small subunit ribosomal RNA (bases 44-216)
Source: RNAcentral